UUAUUGAGAGUUUGAUCCUGGCUCAGGACGAACGCUGGCGGCGUGCCUAAUACAUGCAAGUCGAACGCAUUUUGUUCCACCGGAGCUUGCUCCAUCGAAACAAAAUGAGUGGCGGACGGGUGAGUAACACGUGGGUAACUUGCCCAUCAGAGGGGGAUAACACUUGGAAACAGGUGCUAAUACCGCAUAAUUUUUUUGACCGCAUGGUCGAAUGAUGAAAGGCGCUUUCGGGUGUCACUGAUGGAUAGACCCGCGCUGCAUUAGCUAGUUGGUGAGGUAACGGCUCACCAAGGCCAUGAUGCAUAGCCGACCUGAGAGGGUGAUCGGCCACACUGGGACUGAGA
This is a ribosomal RNA of 344 nucleotides. It matches the Rfam family "Bacterial small subunit ribosomal RNA", at positions 1 to 324 of the family's 1533-position model.